This is a non-coding RNA of Pelobates cultripes (western spadefoot toad), 249 nucleotides long. The record is from the annotation of a GenBank genome assembly. NCBI's taxonomy places the organism in Eukaryota, Metazoa, Chordata, Amphibia, Anura, Pelobatidae.
CUCAGCUAAGCUUCUCCAAAAGCCCAUGCCUCCUGUGGAGAAUAAGCCCACUCCACAUUAUAGAUGGGGAACAUGCAUCAGGGGAUUUUUAAGGUAACCGACCCCUAUAAAACAGAUAUACUCAUAUGUAUAUAUACAGCACCAAAUUCAGUUUAGGGAAUUAAAGAAAUAAGAACUCCUGAAUUGUGCCUUCCUGAAAUCCAAAUACAUAGUCCAGAAUCUUCAUGUAUGACAGUCUCUAAACUGCAC